Molecule: unclassified non-coding RNA, 352 nt
Filed under: soil metagenome
Description: partial contains 5.8S ribosomal RNA, internal transcribed spacer 2, and large subunit ribosomal RNA
Rfam family: 5.8S ribosomal RNA (bases 1-120)
Source: RNAcentral
GAUGAAGAACGUAGCGAAAUGCGAUAAGUAAUGUGAUUUGCAGAAUUCAGUGAAUCAUCGAAUCUUUGAACGCACAUUGCGCCCGCCAGUAUUCUGGCGGGCAUGCCUGUUCGAGCGUCAUUACAACCCUCAGGCCCCCGGGCCUGGCGUUGGGGAUCGGCGGAGCCCCCCGUGGGCACACGCCGUCCCCCAAAUGCAGUGGCGGUCCCGCCGCAGCUUCCAUCGCGUAGUAGCUAACACCUCGCGACUGGAGAGCGGCGCGGCCACGCCGUAAAACACCCAACUCUUCUGAAGUUGACCUCGAAUCAGGUAGGAAUACCCGCUGAACUUAAGCAUAUCAAUAAGCGGAGGA